RNAcentral lists this ribosomal RNA (532 nucleotides) under uncultured bacterium. RNAcentral's name for it is "partial 16S ribosomal RNA". It matches the Rfam family "Bacterial small subunit ribosomal RNA", at positions 899 to 1397 of the family's 1533-position model. The record is from RNAcentral.
ACUCAAAUGAAUUGACGGGGACUUGCACAAGCAGUGGAUUAUGUGGUUUAAUUCGAUGGUAAACGAAGAACCUUACCAGGGUUAGAAAUCCUAGUGAAAGCCCGAGGAAACUCGGGGCCUCGCAAGACUCUAGGACAGGUGAUGCAUGGCCGUCGUCAGUUCGUGGUUUGAAUUGUACCCUUAAGUGGGCUAACGAACGCAACCCUCGUUGUGUGUUACAAGUGUCACACGAGACUGCCCCCGCAAAAGCGCAUGAGUAGUGAGCGAAAGCAAAACUAUUCGUGAAUUUUUGUGGGGGAGGAAGGAGAGGAUGACGCCAGGUCAGCAUGUCCCUUUGAUACCCUGGGCUACACACAUAAUACAAUGGCUAUUACAACGCGAUGCGACGAGGCGACUCUGAGCAAAUCGUCCAAAAAUAGCCCCAGUUCGGAUUGGAGGCUGCAACUCGCCUCCAUGAAGCCGGAAUUGCUAGUAAUCACAGGUCAGCUAAACUGUGGUGAAUACGUUCUCAAGUCUUGCACACACCGCCCGU